UGGGGAAUCUUCCGCAAUGGGCGCAAGCCUGACGGAGCAACGCCGCGUGGGGGACGAAGGCCUUCGGGUUGUAAACCCCUGUCAGUGGGAACGAGGGGCUCAGCGGUGAACAGUCGCUGGGCUUGACGGUACCCGCAGAGGAAGCCACGGCCAACUCCGUGCCAGCAGCCGCGGUAAUACGGAGGUGGCGAGCGUUGUUCGGAAUUACUGGGCGUAAAGGGCGCGUAGGCGGGGGGAGAAGUCGGGUGUGAAAGCCCUCGGCUCAACCGAGGAACGGCGCUCGAGACUCUCUCUCUUGAGUCCCGGAGAGGACGAUGGAAUUCCCGGUGUAGCGGUGAAAUGUGUAGAGAUCGGGAGGAACACCGGUGGCGCAGGCGGUCGUCUGGACGGUGACUGACGCUGAGGCGCGAAAGCGUGGGGAGCAAACGGG
Molecule: ribosomal RNA, 430 nt
Filed under: uncultured Nitrospirales bacterium
Lineage: Bacteria; Pseudomonadati; Nitrospirota; Nitrospiria; Nitrospirales
Description: bacterial SSU rRNA
Rfam family: Bacterial small subunit ribosomal RNA
Source: RNAcentral